RNAcentral lists this ribosomal RNA (254 nucleotides) under uncultured bacterium. RNAcentral describes it as "partial 16S ribosomal RNA". It matches the Rfam family "Bacterial small subunit ribosomal RNA", at positions 524 to 776 of the family's 1533-position model. The record is from RNAcentral.
UACGGGGGGAGCAAGCGUUGUUCGGAUUUACUGGGCGUAAAGGGCGCGUAGGCGGUCAGCACAAGUCAGUUGUGAAAUCUCCGGGCUUAACUCGGAAAGGUCAACUGAUACUGUGCGACUAGAGUGCAGAAGGGGCAACUGGAAUUCUCGGUGUAGCGGUGGAAUGCGUAGAUAUCGAGAGGAACACCUGCGGCGAAGGCGGGUUGCUGGGCCGACACUGACGCUGAUGCGCGAAAGCCAGGGGAGCGAACGGG